Paramisgurnus dabryanus is the source of this 975-nucleotide non-coding RNA. The record is from RefSeq and is a predicted model, not a curated record. Lineage: Eukaryota; Metazoa; Chordata; Actinopteri; Cypriniformes; Cobitidae.
ACUCAAAAAAACGAUUCCUGGCAAUAUUUACUUUUAAGUAUUUGGAUCAUUUAGAUUUUAUUUAAAUACUCGUUUUUUAAAAUAUAUGUAAUCCGAUUUAUUAGAAUAUAUAUAAAUCUGUUCAAUUUAAAAACUAUUAGAUUUAAUCAGUUAAAAUGUAUGAAUAUGAAUUAAAUAAAUCUAGCCGUGAAACAAACCGGAUAAAUUCUAUGAGAUUGAUUUACAUACAAGUGUCAGGAAACUGACUUUAGUAGAAGCGGAAAUGACGUCUAUUCACACUCCAGUCAGGAGGUGGCGCCAAAAUCAAAAACAGACGCUACAGCACAUGGACUUCGCCAUUUUGCAUUGCACUGGAUCGUCAUCUCACUAGCUUACGAUCGCCAAAUUGUAGGUGAGUAAAGUUAACAAGUUUGAUGUGAUUAUCUAAAAUAUAAUUGUCUGUUGUUUAAUUACAUGUGUAACGCGUUGCAUGUUUCAGAGUAAAAUACACCUCACUACACAGAUGGUCUGUUGGAAUGUAAGUUACCCUGCAGUGUCUGUUGCUUUUAUUGGUUAUUUUUUGUGGUUUAAUGUUUGAAACCUAAGAAAUAAAUAAAGUCAUAGGCUACUGGAGACUUAUCAGAAUAAAAUAAUCAUAUAAUCUCUGUGACUUUAUUAACAAAAGAAUGUUACAAUUAUACUAUGUUGUUGAGUGCAUUGUGUGUGUCUAACUAAAACUUUAUUUUACAGAUACAGCAUCAUUUCAUCGUCUAUAUGGUGGGACAACCUGCAAGACAGGUUGAAGACAUCUGUAUCUACCUCAAAAAAGGCAUGGAGAGACACAUUAAAGAAUAUGUGAAUUGUGAAAUUGGUGAGUUGGGGAUUGCACAGACAGUGGAAGUUUUGCAAAACCUACUUGGUGUCACACAUGGGUGUGAAAUUACUUUUUGGACUCAUUUAUGCACUUAAACUGAACUACCAGAAGAACCUCAGGUG